Molecule: ribosomal RNA, 586 nt
Filed under: uncultured bacterium
Lineage: Bacteria
Description: bacterial SSU rRNA
Rfam family: Bacterial small subunit ribosomal RNA
Source: RNAcentral
CCUACGGGAGGCAGCAGUAGGGAAUCUUCCGCAAUGGACGAAAGUCUGACGGAGCAACGCCGCGUGAACGAUGAAGGCCUUCGGGUCGUAAAGUUCUGUUGUUAGGGAAGAACAAGUGCUAGUUGAAUAAGCUGGCACCUUGACGGUACCUAACCAGAAAGCCACGGCUAACUACGUGCCAGCAGCCGCGGUAAUACGUAGGUGGCAAGCGUUGUCCGGAAUUAUUGGGCGUAAAGCGCGCGCAGGCGGUUUCUUAAGUCUGAUGUGAAAGCCCCCGGCUCAACCGGGGAGGGUCAUUGGAAACUGGGAAACUUGAGUGCAGAAGAGGAAAGUGGAAUUCCAAGUGUAGCGGUGAAAUGCGUAGAGAUUUGGAGGAACACCAGUGGCGAAGGCGACUUUCUGGUCUGUAACUGACGCUGAGGCGCGAAAGCGUGGGGAGCAAACAGGAUUAGAUACCCUGGUAGUCCACGCUGUAAACGAUGAGUGCUAAGUGUUAGAGGGUUUCCGCCUUUAGUGCUGAAGUUAACGCAUUAAGCACUCCGCCUGGGGAGUACGGUCGCAAGACUGAAACUUAAGGAAUUGACGG